CGAAAGCCUGACGGAGCAAUACCGCGUGAGGGAGGAAGGCUUUUGGGUUGUAAACCUCUUUUAAUAAGGAAGAAGAAAGUGACGGUACUUAUUGAAUAAGCAUCGGCUAACUCCGUGCCAGCAGCCGCGGUAAUACGGAGGAUGCAAGCGUUAUUCGGAAUUAUUGGGCGUAAAGGGUCCGCAGGUGGUAAUUCAAGUCUGCUGUCAAAGACCGAAGCUUAACUUCGGAAAGGCGGUGGAAACUGAAAAACUAGAGUACGGUAGGGGUAGAGGGAAUUUCCAGUGUAGCGGUGAAAUGCGUAGAUAUUGGGAAGAACACCAGUGGCGAAGGCGCUCAACUGGGCCGUAACUGACACUCAGGGACGAAAGCUAGGGGAGCG
Molecule: ribosomal RNA, 380 nt
Filed under: uncultured cyanobacterium
Lineage: Bacteria; Bacillati; Cyanobacteriota
Description: bacterial SSU rRNA
Rfam family: Bacterial small subunit ribosomal RNA
Source: RNAcentral